Molecule: ribosomal RNA, 253 nt
Filed under: uncultured bacterium
Lineage: Bacteria
Description: partial 16S ribosomal RNA
Rfam family: Bacterial small subunit ribosomal RNA
Source: RNAcentral
UACGGAGGGUGCAAGCGUUAUCCGGAUUCACUGGGUUUAAAGGGUGUGUAGGCGGGCUGUUAAGUCAGUGGUGAAAUCUCCGGGCUCAACCCGGAAACUGCCAUUGAUAUUAUCAGUCUUGAAUUCUGUUGAGGUGGGCGGAAUAUGUCAUGUAGCGGUGAAAUGCAUAGAUAUGACAUAGAACACCAAUUGCGAAGGCAGCUCACUAAGCAGCGAUUGACGCUGAGGCACGAAGGCGUGGGGAUCAAACAGG